UACGCGCUUGGGAGUAGUUGAUUUUGU
RNAcentral lists this non-coding RNA (27 nucleotides) under Bombyx mori (domestic silkworm). Lineage: Eukaryota; Metazoa; Arthropoda; Insecta; Lepidoptera; Bombycidae. The record is from RNAcentral.